GAUGAACGCUGGCGGCGUGCUUAACACAUGCAAGUCGAACGAAGCACUUUAUUUGAUUUCCUUCGGGACUGAUCAUUUUUUGACUGAGUGGCGGACGGGUGAGUAACGCGUGGGUAACCUGCCUCGUACAGGGGGAUAACAGUUGGAAACGGCUGCUAAUACCGCAUAAGCGCCCGGCAUCGCAUGAUGCAGUGUUAAAAACUCCGGUGGUAUAAGAUGGACCCGCGUUGGAUUAGCUAGUUGGUGAGGUAACGGCCCACCAAGGCGACGAUCCAUAGCCGACAUGAGAGGGUGACCGGACACAUUGGGACUGAGACGCGGCCGAAACUCCUACGGGAGGCAGCAGUGGGGAAUAUUGCACAAUGGGCGAAAGCCUGAUGGAGCGACGACGCGUGAGCGAAGAAGUAUUGCGAUAUGUAAAGCGCUAGCAGCAGGGAAGAUAUUGACGGUACCUGACGAAGAAGCACCGGCUAAAUACGUG
RNAcentral lists this ribosomal RNA (481 nucleotides) under uncultured bacterium. RNAcentral's name for it is "partial 16S ribosomal RNA". It matches the Rfam family "Bacterial small subunit ribosomal RNA", at positions 28 to 507 of the family's 1533-position model. The record is from RNAcentral.